This 253-nucleotide ribosomal RNA is filed under the name uncultured bacterium. RNAcentral describes it as "partial 16S ribosomal RNA". It matches the Rfam family "Bacterial small subunit ribosomal RNA", at positions 524 to 776 of the family's 1533-position model. The record is from RNAcentral.
UACGAAGGGGGCUAGCGUUGCUCGGAAUCACUGGGCGUAAAGCGCACGUAGGCGGCUUGUUAAGUCAGGGGUGAAAUCCUGGAGCUCAACUCCAGAACUGCCUUUGAUACUGGCGAGCUUGAGUUCGGGAGAGGUGAGUGGAACUGCGAGUGUAGAGGUGAAAUUCGUAGAUAUUCGCAAGAACACCAGUGGCGAAGGCGGCUCACUGGCCCGGUACUGACGCUGAGGUGCGAAAGCGUGGGGAGCGAACAGG